GCCGCGCGCAGUGGCACGUGCCUGUAGUCCCAGCUAUUCGGGAGGCUGAGGUUGGAGGAUCUCUUGAGUCCAGGAGUUCUGGGCUGUAGUGCUCUAUGCCGACUGGGUGUCCGCACUAAGUUCAGCAUCAAUAUGGUGACCUCCCAGGAGCGGGGAACCACCAGGUUACCUAAGGAGGGGCAAACUGGCCCAAGUCAGAAAUGGAGCAGGUCAAAACUCCCGUGAUGAUCAGUAGUGGGAUCACGCCUGUGACUAGCCACUGCUCUCCAGCAUGGGCAACAUAGCGAGACCCCGUCUCCU
Callithrix jacchus (white-tufted-ear marmoset) is the source of this 300-nucleotide unclassified non-coding RNA. It matches the Rfam family "Metazoan signal recognition particle RNA". Rfam says of the family: The signal recognition particle (SRP) is a universally conserved ribonucleoprotein. The record is from Ensembl. NCBI's taxonomy places the organism in Eukaryota, Metazoa, Chordata, Mammalia, Primates, Cebidae.